This 484-nucleotide ribosomal RNA is filed under the name Flavobacteriaceae bacterium JJ-3087. Its description in RNAcentral is "bacterial SSU rRNA". It matches the Rfam family "Bacterial small subunit ribosomal RNA", at positions 8 to 493 of the family's 1533-position model. Lineage: Bacteria; Pseudomonadati; Bacteroidota; Flavobacteriia; Flavobacteriales; Flavobacteriaceae. The record is from RNAcentral.
AGAGUUUGAUCAUGGCUCAGGAUGAACGCUAGCGGCAGGCUUAACACAUGCAAGUCGAGGGGUAGAGUUCUUCGGAAUUUGAGACCGGCGCACGGGUGCGUAACGCGUAUGCAAUCUACCUUUUACAGAGGGAUAGCCCAGAGAAAUUUGGAUUAAUACCUCAUAGUAUUAUGAAAUGGCAUCAUUUUAUAAUUAAAGUCACAACGGUAAAAGAUGAGCAUGCGUCCCAUUAGCUAGUUGGUAAGGUAACGGCUUACCAAGGCUACGAUGGGUAGGGGUCCUGAGAGGGAGAUCCCCCACACUGGUACUGAGACACGGACCAGACUCCUACGGGAGGCAGCAGUGAGGAAUAUUGGACAAUGGGCGCAAGCCUGAUCCAGCCAUGCCGCGUGCAGGAUGACGGUCCUAUGGAUUGUAAACUGCUUUUAUACGAGAAGAAACACUACUUCGUGAAGUAGCUUGACGGUAUCGUAGAAUAGAUGGC